RNAcentral lists this ribosomal RNA (600 nucleotides) under Pseudomonas putida. Its description in RNAcentral is "bacterial SSU rRNA". It matches the Rfam family "Bacterial small subunit ribosomal RNA", at positions 60 to 655 of the family's 1533-position model. The record is from RNAcentral. Lineage: Bacteria; Pseudomonadati; Pseudomonadota; Gammaproteobacteria; Pseudomonadales; Pseudomonadaceae.
AGUCGAGCGGAUGACGGGAGCUUGCUCCUUGAUUCAGCGGCGGACGGGUGAGUAAUGCCUAGGAAUCUGCCUGGUAGUGGGGGACAACGUUUCGAAAGGAACGCUAAUACCGCAUACGUCCUACGGGAGAAAGCAGGGGACCUUCGGGCCUUGCGCUAUCAGAUGAGCCUAGGUCGGAUUAGCUAGUUGGUGGGGUAAUGGCUCACCAAGGCGACGAUCCGUAACUGGUCUGAGAGGAUGAUCAGUCACACUGGAACUGAGACACGGUCCAGACUCCUACGGGAGGCAGCAGUGGGGAAUAUUGGACAAUGGGCGAAAGCCUGAUCCAGCCAUGCCGCGUGUGUGAAGAAGGUCUUCGGAUUGUAAAGCACUUUAAGUUGGGAGGAAGGGCAGUAAGCUAAUACCUUGCUGUUUUGACGUUACCGACAGAAUAAGCACCGGCUAACUCUGUGCCAGCAGCCGCGGUAAUACAGAGGGUGCAAGCGUUAAUCGGAAUUACUGGGCGUAAAGCGCGCGUAGGUGGUUUGUUAAGUUGGAUGUGAAAGCCCCGGGCUCAACCUGGGAACUGCAUCCAAAACUGGCAAGCUAGAGUACGGUAGA